CUCCAGAACACCGACCAGCUUCAGCGGAAACACCCGGAAGACGGCCAGAAACAUCAGAGUGCUAUCGUCGAGUCCUGCCUAGAGAAUGGGUUCUUGCAGCUCAGGUAGAACAGCAAGAUGCUAACAACAACAACUAAGUGUACAGUACCUGUCGGGCCAAAGCUAGAAUUACGGUUGGAUGGAGGAAUUCAACCAAGUCAGCUGUUUCUCUCCCUGAUGAAGGCUGGUGAGCCGACACGCGUUGG
Molecule: long non-coding RNA, 245 nt
Organism: Alosa sapidissima (American shad)
Lineage: Eukaryota; Metazoa; Chordata; Actinopteri; Clupeiformes; Clupeidae
Exons: 4
Source: RefSeq, a predicted model, not a curated record